Molecule: long non-coding RNA, 952 nt
Organism: Herpailurus yagouaroundi (jaguarundi)
Lineage: Eukaryota; Metazoa; Chordata; Mammalia; Carnivora; Felidae
Exons: 3
Source: RefSeq, a predicted model, not a curated record
GGUAUCUCACCGCUGCGUCAGUGCAGCAACGAGUCAAAGCAGUGUCACUAAUAUGCAUCAGCUGUCACUGCACCCUUCACCAAUGAAGAAGUAAAGACUUGAGUAGCUUCUAAAGGUCUCAACAAGGGGCAAAGCCAGGCCCACAUCCAGCUCGUCAGCCCAGCACAACAGACACCAGACCGCUCUGCCAUCUCCCUCUCCCCCUGGAAGCAGCGCUAAUUCUGGGGAGAAGGAAAAGAAGAUGAGAAUAAAAAUAGACAUAAAACAUACAGUACUUUGUACUAGAGGAGUGACUAAGGAAAGAAACAAUCCCUUCUUCUCGGAUUGUCUCUGCCUGGAAUGCCAUCCAGCACCUAAUGUGCUACUUUGGCAACCAGAGAAAGCACGCCGCCUCCAAAGCGAGACUCGCCCUGGCCAGACGCCAUAAGGUAGCACCUGACUCAGCACUCACUCAACCCCAGCCCUGAGCUGGCCACUCCCUCUGCUUGGAGCUAUAGAUUUCAUCAGGAUAAAAAUGAAACUUGGACGCUUGAUCUGUGGUUGCCACUCCUGCUGCCACCGUUCCCACCACUGAUGGACCCAGAUUCUGUCCUGGCCACACCCCUGGGAAGGCUGAACUGCCUGAGGCGUGCACGGAAGGUCUGGGCCAACUGCUGUGUGCCCGUGGACUGUGCUGGACCACUGCCAUCCGCACGCGGGCUGCUACCUGGUGCAUCAUCCAUGUGCAUAUUGCAUUGGAUCAUCACAAAACAGCAUCAUCACAAAACACAAAUUCAGAGAUAGACGUGGAUGAAGAAUUUCCAGACAGUCAUAGAAGAACAUAAACCCAAGCACAGAGUCCUCAACCUGGGCCCUUUGUAACUGUGGGCUCUGCCUCGUAGCAACCAUAAUUCCUGGUUUUCCACCCACUAGUCGUUUGGACUGGAGUGGUUAAUGCACUUUUUAUUGCCAA